UUAUUUCACGUUUGGUAGUUUUAUCCGAGUUGAAAACUGACAGAUUUGAGUUGACUUUUGAGGCACUUUUUACUCAGUUGUUCUAUGGAAACGGUUCAGGACAAAUAAAACGCUAACCAAACGUUAUUCUGUCCAGAGUAACGUUAUCCAUGUAAGUAAUUUACCAGAUGAUGUCAAUUGACUACAUUAAUAAAGACAUUGCGUAUGAAACAAACUGUCUGCUUAAUCAGAUGAACAGACCCGCGUCAGUUAUUCGUGACUUCACUACGCCACGAGCAACACUUGAUUCUAUUAGAAAAAGCUUUUUUUAAAUGCCUCGCGUGACGUCUGGUAUAUUAACUGAAAAAAUUGCUUUGAAGUGCCACACCUUAAAGCUGACGUUUUCAGAAGAGCACCUUGUUUUAAGAUCUCAUUUUGUCCAAAAUUACGUCCUAUGACAGAUAUAAUACUUAUUUCAUUAUUGCUCUGUGUAUGUGUGACCUUAAUCAUUUGAGGUUGUGUGUUGAUUUCACCUCUGAAUAUUUCCUCUUAUAGGUCCAUCAUCCUUGCAUGCGCUACACACUCAAAAGCAUUGAUAAAUGCUGAAUUUAAAAGAAUCACUACUGUCUUAUGUUCCUGCGUGUCACCUGGACCUCCAAUCCAAAAACCUGACGAAACUCUUCUAUCAGAAAGGAGGACAGCUAGCAAACAGACUUCAAACAAUGAAUGAUCAAAUGACAGAAGGCAUGAAUGAAGUCAGCAUCAGUGUGGUCAUUUGAAGACACCAAUGUUGGGAUUUGUGCUCUCAAACAACAUGCUUCUUGUGAUGAAGAAGAGGAUCUUUGUAUAGUCCUGGAAGCCAUGAAGGUGUUGCAACAUCGUGCCAUGUUGUUUGCGCUGAUGUAUGCCUUAAACCUGAGCUAUCCUGAUCUCUGCUUUAUUUUUGAAGAAAUCCAAAAGAUUUUAAUGGAACUGCAUUGAGCGUAACUUUAACGAACAGUUUCUUUCAGUGAAAGGAUCAGAAAGACUGUGCUGCUCAUUUAUG
This is a long non-coding RNA of Paramisgurnus dabryanus, 1024 nucleotides long. RefSeq lists it as uncharacterized. NCBI's taxonomy places the organism in Eukaryota, Metazoa, Chordata, Actinopteri, Cypriniformes, Cobitidae. The record is from RefSeq and is a predicted model, not a curated record.